UCCUAUUUUUCUCUAAGUCCAUUUUUGAUAUGAAGGCCCAUUCAAAUACUCAACCAAGUUUUAUGUCAAGGUUAGCUCUGAGAAUAGACAGCUGGUAUCUCAUCUUUGAGUUGUGGAAGCCACAUUACAAUCUAGAACUUCCAAACCAUCGGCAUGGAGUGGGGGAGAAGAGAUCCAUCCCUUUCAGGAAGCCUUCACCAGCCCAGCCAAGAGGAAGCUCAGGCCUCAGGUUGAGGCAGGUUCCCAUGAAGCAGCCAAAAGUUUGCAAAACAAGUGCCGAGAUGAGACUCAGGCUUUGGAUUCAUGGUAAGGUUGCAACAGUCUUGGAAGGCUGAGCUGACAGAAGAGCCUUGGGGAGCCAGGCCUGUGACACAACUGCCUGGGCAGAGCCAGGGUCCCCUUGUGCUCACUGCCUGGGUCUCAGUUCUCAGCAAGGAGGGACUAACUGGCUGGGAUAAUAGUCCCGUGUUUAUAUUUGAAAAGGGAUACUGCAUUUCCAGGAUAAUCCCCUCCAGCCUCCUCUUAGGCUAAGAUUUCCAACUGGUCUAGAAUGUUGAAGAGAAAUCAGGGGCUGAUUACCUGGCCGACAGGGCUGCAAUCACACCUUUCAAUAUGAAUUAUACACUCUUUGAGUUCAAUGACAUUGAGCAUCCAGGCUCUGGCUGGGGCAAAGCCUGUUCAAUGGUUUCCAUCACUGGCUUAAGACAAUGAUUUGAAUGGACAAAGUCCCCUCACUGCGCUUGAUAAGCAGGAAAUGAACGCUUGUUUGCAAAUAAGAUUGAGAAACGUGAUCAGCUUCUUGUUCGGCAUCUGUCUUUGGGAAAGCAGCUCCUGAUAAGACUAAUGUCGAAAUAUGUUAGAAGACACCAGGGGUGGUGGGAGCCUUCCCUGUCCUCCUCCAUCCCCACCCCUACCUUCUUUGUUUGCUUUGAUGGAACAGGGUCUCAGUCUGUAGCUUAGGCUGGCUUCAAAUCAUGGUGCAGUCCUCCUGCCUCAGCAUCUCAGGUGCUAGGAUCACAGAUAUGAACCAUUAUGCCUGGCUGUAUUCCCAAUUUAUAUGUAUCUGAAGCAGCAAAGGCAAAAAAGGUGUUUUAGCUUGAAAGACUGUUUCUUUGAGGGGAUUUAAAUACAGCAGGGGCCGACUUGACAUAACACUUCUGUUCUGUUUUGUCAUUUAAAAAUUGUUUCCAUUUUUUGGGUUUUGAGACAGAGUCUUGCUACAUGUAUCAGGAUGGGCUGGAAUUCUCUGUGUGGGCCAGGCUGGCCUAGAGCUCACAGCAAUCCUCCUGCCUCAGUUUUGCCCUAUUACCCAUGGCUUUUCUAGAUUUCUGUUCCUAUUCUCCGCCCUCUCUGAUACCUUCCCUUAAAAGGAUCUUCGUUUUUGAAUGGAACAAAAAUUUUGCUGAGACUUGGAUGCAACCCGAUAUCAUACAUUCAAUACAUAAACAGCUUUGGUAUAUAGCCUCAGUUUGGGGACAAGUUACUUGGUGCAUGGAAAAGCAUUGGGUGCUUUUUAGAUUGGGAAGGAGGAGGCUGUGGGCUGGGGAAAGAGACAGACUACAGGUUAGUAUUUGACUGGGUGUUGUUUGCAUUCAUGUAUAUCUUGAUGCAGUACUUUUGGGGAAAAAUUGGCAUCCACAGUCUUUCGUUUUGGGGGAAUAUUAUUUUCAAGUUUUGAGUUCUUGGUCAUCUUUGUGUAUGUGUGUAUGUAUAUGUGCAAUGUGUGUAUGUGUGCAUGUGUAGAGGGGCAAAGGACAUCUUUAGGUGUCAUUUCUUAGGCCUGCCAACACUUUCAUUUUAAUUAAAAAUUGUUUAUUUUAUGUGUAUGUGUGUAUGUAUAUGUGUAGUGUGUGUGUGUGCAUGUGUAGAGGGGCAAAGGACAUCUUUAGGUGUCAUUUCUCAGGCCUGCCAACACUUUCAUUUUAAUUAAAAAUUAUUUAUUUUAUGUGUAUGUGUGUGUGCCUGAGUUUGCAUCCAUACAUGCACCAUGUGAGUGAAGGUGACCAUGAAGGCCAGAAGAGGGCAUUAGAGCUCCUGGAACUGGAGUUAGGAGGCAGUUGUGAGCUACCUGAUGUGGGUGCUGGGAACUGAACCUGGGUCUUCUGUAAGAGUAGGUUCUCUUAACCCAGAGCCAUCUCUCUUCGUCCUCCUUUUAAAGCUUUUAUUUUGUGUUUCUUUAUUUAUUCAUUUUUAUGUUUGAGUGGUUUUGUAUAUGUACCAUGUGCAGGCAGUGCCCUGCCUCUUCGGCAAAGAUGCUAAAGCACAUGUAAUGUGACUCAAGAGAAGCAAAGAGACAGACAGACAGAUAGACAGACAGACAACAACAAAAUAGAGUCUCAAGAGUUUGGGUGAGGUAAUACGAGAGUAGGAUGGGUCUGUAUAAAUAGGAAAUUUAGAGCCUCUUACAGAGGAAAGGUAAGAAGAAGCUGUGCAACCGGGGCUGUGUCUAAGAUGGAGGAUUGGUGUGGAGGUACGUCAAGGAGCCCCUGAGAUUACUGGAAGCUGGGAGAGAGAAACGGCAGAGAUCCUCUCUAGAGCCUUCAGAGAGAGCCAUCACCUUGGAUUUGGACUUCUAGACUCCAGACGGAUGAUAGAGCGCUUUGCAUGCUGUCCAGUGCACUCAGUGUGUGGCAGCUGUCUGGCGGCUCUAGGAUAGGAAUCCGUUUAGCUUCCACAGGGACAGACAGUUUGGAAAGCAGUAGCAGUUAUCGGCUCACCUGAGCCAAGCAGCACUAGUGGCCUGUAAUUUUCCAACACAGCCAGUGGGAGGUUCUCAGAACGUAGGUCUGGUCCCACUGGGGCCCCAAGUCCUCUCUUAGCCUAGAGGAGUUUCUGUGGCAGAGGAGGAGGUGUCAGCCGCACGCAUGCCUUAGGAUGCAUUGCUAAGCGGCUAGGAUGUCAGGGAGACAUCCUUUGGUAGCCUGGCCUUCUGCUUUGAAUCCCUCUUCCAUUGUCUCCCUCCUCACCCUGGAAGGGAAGGCAAGGGAAAGCUAACACAGGGACAAGCGUCUACUGUCGAGUCACGUGUGGUCAAAGCCAUGGAGAGUGUCAAUUUUUUUUAAACCUCCUUGCCGUGACAUAGUGACAUGGAUGAGGAGUCUCUUUGGCACACCUUUCGAGCUAACCCCUCCAAUAUUGCCUGACUCUUGGAGGAAAUGGAGGCUCUCUGGACUGAAAGGAGGUCAUGAACUUCACUUUGUCUUCCUUUUGCUGCUACCAGGAGGACCAUAGAGUCCACAAGAUUCUAAGCUGAGGUGAUUCUUUGCCCGUUUGGCUUCUGCUCCAGGUGAAAAGCAGCCAGGGAGAGUCCUCUUUUGUCUCAGACCUUAUGUUUUACUUAAAACCACGAACCAUGGGAAAUGCUCUGAGAGCGAUAUGAAAACUUCCUUUUUCUUGAGGCUUCUGAGGUUCAUAGAGGAGACUAUGCUCAAAACCCCCUUGUCUCAAUGGCACUAGACUUUGUGUCCAGGCAUCAUGAUCCUUGCUGUAGCUCCACACCACAGCUCUCUCUUCCUUCUGCCUCUCAAAAUAGGCUGGAGAGAUGGCUCAGUGGUUAAGAACACUGGCUGUUCUUCCAGGGGACUCUGGUUCCAUUCCUAGCACCCACAGUGAGGCUCACAACUGUUUGUAACUCCAGCUCCAGGGGAUCUGAUGCCCUCUUCUAGCCUCUGUGGGCACUGGGCACUCACAUGGUUCACAUUCACAGAUGCAGACAAAACACUCAAACCCAUAAAAUAAAAAUUAAAACAAAACCCACAUGCAUCCAUGCUUUGCCAUAAGAUCAGCUGGGGUUGUUCCUCCUUUCUCUGUUUGGUGUCUACUUUCUGUGGGCCACUGUGUGUGUGUGUGUGUGUGUGUGUGUGUGUGUGUGUGUGUGUGUGUGUGUGUGUGUGUGUGUUUAUGUAGGUUUGGGUGUACAUUUAGUGCUUUCACGUAGAAGCCACAGGACAAUAACCUGGGGUGUUGUUACUCAGGUGCCAUCCACUUAAAUUUCCUUUUUUCAAACAAAAUCUCUCACUGGCUUGGGACUUAGCAGUAGGCUAGGUUGGUAGGCCUAGUAAUAGCAGGCCAGUGACCUAAAGGGUUCCAUCUGUCUUUUCCUCUCUAGAUCUGGGUUUACAGGUACUGAUACCAUGCCUGGCGGUUUUUCAUGUGUUGUAGAGAUGCAGCUCAGGUCCUCAUGCUUACAAGGCAAGCAUUUUCUUAACUGAACUAUCUCCUCAAUCUCCAUAGGUCCCUUUUCUCAGGAAACAAUGGAGAAUGAUGCUUAUGGAGCACCUGUCUUUACUUGUACCAUGCUGAGCGUUGCCCUGAGUUACCAGAGGACGAGGGUGUGGCUCAGUGAAGUCAAAGUCAUGUCCAAGAUCAUGUGGCUGUGAAGCAGAGCUGGGAUUCAGAUUUCUCCGGAGAGGCUGGGGAAAGGAAACCACACCCAUGGUGUAUUCGCCUAUGCCGGGGCAUAGUUGCAAUCGGCAAAAGCAGAGGGAAAAUGGGUGGAUCUUACUGGCCUGUGUGGAGCUUGGGAAACUUCACAGCCUCGUUUGGAACUCCUCUGUAAGGAGACAGAACAAACAUUGGAGGAUUGCUUGAGUCCUUUGAUGGAUAUCAGUGGCAAAAACAGAUGUGUUGAAAGGGGAUCACUUCUAGUUACCUGUAAGUGUGGUGGGGCCCUUGGAGAUCUGUAGGAGCAGUUGCAAGGGGCCCCUGUAGACCAGCAUUCCCCAAGCUGCAGCAUCUGUGCCAAGCAAGAAAUCGAUAAUGUUUCACACACUGCGUGGCCGAGGUGUAGAGCUGCCGGCUACAGCUGAACGUAAUGGCGACCCUUUAUCACUCUAUGAAAGGAGACUCCAUAGAAGAUGAUGAACAGUGUCAGCAUCCACUAAUUAAUCCAUCAGCGAAGAAUGCUGCCAGCAUCGCUCCAUCAUUAGCCAAUCUCCAAAAGAAGCAAGAGGACCUGCUGAUGGGCAUCCGAUGGCUUCGAAUGCCUCUGUCAUUCAUUUUUCAUCCAUCAGGUACGCAUAUCACCAUGGAAGAGGAGGCAGAAAGAGCGGAAGAGCCAAAGGUAGUGGACGGUUGCAGCGAGACAGCACUCUUCAGUCACAAAAAGAGGAAGCUGUAUACGUGAACUCACAGAGGCUGUAACAGCAAGCACCAGGCCUGUGCGAGCUCAAGCCAGACAAACAUCCCAGUGUGGACAGGGAGAGACUUAACUCCAACAGGAGAAGCAAGACUGGCCUGCUUUGGGAGUAAAGUUUGAUUAAUGCCAGAUCCUUAAACAGAGAGAGAAAGGGAGAGAGAAGACUUGAGAAAAUGGAGACAUAAGUUGAGAUCAUCUGUCAUGCCGGCUGCCACUCUGCAUCAUAUUAUCUGGAUAAGAAAAUCAGCCCAUGGGACGAUCUGCAAGGUGCACAGCGAGUCCCAUUGUUCUGUUCUGGACAUGACUUAGGUCACUUCAGCUCCUCACCACAUAGCAAGCUGGUAAGCUGUUCGUCCCCUUUCCUGCGCCUUAUUAAGAAGUGAAGCCCAGAAGCUGACUAAUAGAAGGAGCUAACUCAGAGGUAGGCACUGGGCUCUUACCUCUGUGAUACUGCUCUUCAGAAGAAUGGUCGAGGCUGAGGUAGAGCUUCAAAGAGCCUUGUUUAGCUGCACGUUCCACUCCCUUCUAUCCAUCUGAACACGAUCAUACCUACUCUUCAGUCUCAAAAAUGUAUAGUCUUAGGACCCUUCUCAGGGGUUCUUCUGGGCUUGACCUAACUCCUAUGUACUCUAGUCCAAUACUCAAUGCCCUGUGGCCCAGGCUUAACCUUUGGGAUGCAUAUAUGAUCAGCACCCACACAGCUGGGAAUCACUGAGUCACGGGGCCGAGUUGCUGCUUGCAUGUUUUGCGCCUGGAAAUGAGAUUUAUAGGGCAGAGUGUCUUUGCCUCCCACACUUCUGGCAGGUUUCCUGUGCAUUCCUGCUGCAGAGCCUUAUGGCGCUUAUCUCUCAUAUCUCAAAGAGAAGCCUUUUAACAAGGGUCACUAUCCACAAAUGACAGAGUAUAGUAAAUUUAGACCUGAAAGCCACCGCAGUGAAUGCCUUGGCAGGCUACUCCCUCAUAGUUCUGGACAAGUGAAUUAGGGAAUGUGCUCAUUCAUCUGUUCAUUUCCUUUUUACCUCUCAAUUUACCCUCCAGGUAAGAUGUGUAAGUGAGGAAUGGGAAGAGCCAAGGAGAACUCAAAUACAGAAGCUGUUUGUAAUGCUGCUUUGCAGGUCUAACUCCUUU
Long non-coding RNA from Peromyscus californicus insignis, 6265 nucleotides. RefSeq lists it as uncharacterized. The transcript is spliced from 9 exons. Lineage: Eukaryota; Metazoa; Chordata; Mammalia; Rodentia; Cricetidae. The record is from RefSeq and is a predicted model, not a curated record.